RNAcentral lists this transfer RNA (68 nucleotides) under Erronea onyx. Its description in RNAcentral is "tRNA-Phe". It matches the Rfam family "tRNA". Rfam says of the family: Transfer RNA (tRNA) molecules are approximately 80 nucleotides in length. Their secondary structure includes four short double-helical elements and three loops (D, anti-codon, and T loops). Lineage: Eukaryota; Metazoa; Mollusca; Gastropoda; Littorinimorpha; Cypraeidae. The record is from RNAcentral.
GCUCAGAUAGCUCAAUAAUUAGAGCGUAGCACUGAAGAUGCUAAGGUGGCGAAUUUCGCCUCAGAGCA